UGUGUUGCUAUAGUUACCUACCUCUGAUACGAACUUGUAACAGCAGCGUUAGGAGGAUGUGUGUCAUCACUACAUGUUCCCCGUUGUCUGCACGAUCCCCUGACCUGUCUGAGUCUAUGGACAACUGAAGAAUAACGUGACCCCGUUUCAUGAGCCUAGAGCGGACGAUAACACGUAACAAUGUAAAUUCUGAGCAAGAACCUCCAGCUCCUCACAGCCGCACAAUUAGAAAAUCAAAUCUGACUGUUACUGAAAGUCUGCUGAGCUGUGAAAGCCCUCUCUUUUGUUAUCAGCAGAAUCUUGCAUCCGUAACAAUGCCGAGAAACGUACUUGAUUAUUCGGCUGCUGACAUGGUCGACUUAGCUUUAGAGAGAAGCUGCGUACUGUAAAGAAAAAAAAAUCACAUAUUUAUAAAUGUUCUUCAAGGACUUGAAUAUUCUGCUGUUAAAAUAAAUAACUUUAUGCACAUAACUUAGAAUGAAAUGGCCAUGGAAGACAAUGAGAACAUUUAUUACAGAGCAAAGCAAAGAAGAUAACAAAAAAGCCAAGGCAAAGCAUAG
Long non-coding RNA from Hyla sarda, 560 nucleotides. RefSeq lists it as uncharacterized. The record is from RefSeq and is a predicted model, not a curated record. The transcript is spliced from 3 exons. Lineage: Eukaryota; Metazoa; Chordata; Amphibia; Anura; Hylidae.